RNAcentral lists this ribosomal RNA (460 nucleotides) under uncultured bacterium. Its description in RNAcentral is "partial 16S ribosomal RNA". It matches the Rfam family "Bacterial small subunit ribosomal RNA", at positions 338 to 795 of the family's 1533-position model. The record is from RNAcentral.
CCUACGGGUGACAGCAGUGAGGAAUAUUGGUCAAUGGACGCAAGUCUGAACCAGCCAUGCCGCGUGCAGGACGACGGCUCUAUGAGUUGUAAACUGCUUUUGUACGAGGGUAAACGCAGAUACGCGUAUCUGUCUGAAAGUAUCGUACGAAUAAGGAUCGGCUAACUCCGUGCCAGCAGCCGCGGUAAUACGGAGGAUUCAAGCGUUAUCCGGAUUUAUUGGGUUUAACGGGUGCGUAGGCGGUCGGAUAAGUUAGAGGUGAAAUCCCGAGGCUCAACUUCGGAAGUGCCUCUGAUACUGUUCGGCUAGAGAGUAGGUGCGGUAGGCGGAAUGUAUGGUGUAGCGGUGAAAUGCUUAGAGAUCAUACAGAACACCGAUUGCGAAGGCAGCUUACCAAGCUACUUCUGACGUUGAGGCACGAAAGCGUGGGGAGCGAACAGGAUUAGAUACCCUUGUAGUC